This is a small nuclear RNA of Choloepus didactylus (southern two-toed sloth), 105 nucleotides long. Lineage: Eukaryota; Metazoa; Chordata; Mammalia; Pilosa; Megalonychidae. The record is from RefSeq and is a predicted model, not a curated record.
GUGCUCUCUUUGGCAGCACAUAUAGUAAAAUUGAAACCGUACAGAGAAGAUUAGUAUGGCCUCUGUGCAAGAAUAACACAAAUUCAUGAAGUGUUCAACAUUUUU